This 222-nucleotide long non-coding RNA is filed under the name Mytilus galloprovincialis (Mediterranean mussel). The record is from RNAcentral. Lineage: Eukaryota; Metazoa; Mollusca; Bivalvia; Mytilida; Mytilidae.
UGUGUGCUUAGUUAUCGGGAUUUUUUUAAAUGCGAGAUUAAUGAUUUCGAUAUAAGGAAAAUCAGCAUACAGAUAUAUAUAGAUAUAACAUGUAUAAGAAUAUGUGGUAUGAGUGCUAAUGAGACAUCUCUCCAUCUGUAUAUAUGAGUAAUCAGAAUGUGCGAAUACUCACAAAGUAGCAUAUUCGCAUUAACAAAACACCUCACAAUAAUUUCUGAACUA